UAUACCCAGCCCAACUUCUUAUACCAAUUCUCCUCUUUAACAAGGAGAUCAGAAAUAACAAGAAAAACACGCUUCUGGUUUCCAGAUCACGUACAACGAACAGAAAAUCACAACCAGCUGAAACCCGACCAUCUCCCAUCUAUUUUUGAACUGACCCAGGCCCAACCCAUCAGUUUUUUCUUCGCACGCAUCUCACGCAUCAGUUGGACGAGCAAAGGAUCCAAAAACCUUCUAGAAACAAGCUAGGUGUCACCCCCAAUGUCCAAAUUCCACGAAUCUCAAGAUAACGUGUAUGAAUUCGUACAUAUUUGGUAAAUUUUUGUUGGUUCUUGGGGAAAUUAUCCAUUUCCCCCAGUUUCUAUUGGCGACUUUUUGAAAGUCGUUCAAGAAAAUCCAAAUUAGGGUACAAUCUGUUAUGAUCCUUAUUUUUGAUGUUUGAAUUCCCCCAAAAAUAUCUCUAAAAUACCCACAAUUCCAUCUUCUAUAUAAGAAUCCAUUGGGUCGGUAUUUUGAGGGAUUAGAAAAAUUGGGUUGGAAAAUUUUCUAAAAAACUAGAUUGGAAAAAUUUUCUUUUGGGUCAAGAAAAAAGGGUUUUGGGAAAGAGCAACUUUUGUUCGGCAAAUAUUUUAGGAAGUAGCAGUUAGUUUAGUCAAAAUUCAUGUAUCGGCAUCAAACUUUCCGGUGGUGGUGGAGUCCGACGUCAGCUCGUAGUCCCGUUUUGCUGCUCCCUAAUAGUUGUUUUAUAUUAGAGCAACGGAUUAUUAGGGUAAAAGAGUAUGGGAUGACCUCUUCUUAUGGAGUGAUGAACACCAAACCGGCACCAAAUUUAUCUCGACGUGCGGCACCAUUAAAGUACAUCUUUCACGAGCGUAUGGCUUCAAUAACUAUUGCAUCUUCAUCAGGAAGUUCAUCGCUCAGUUCCAAAUCAUCAGGCAUUGGGUGGUUGACCAAGAAAUCAGCCAAUGCUUGUCCCUUUAUGGCCUUUUGGGGAACAUACACAAUCUCAAACUAUUGAAAUUGAAGGUACCGUCUUGAAAGUCGGUCCCUAAGGACUGGUUUCGACAUUACAAACUUGAUGGGAUUCACCCUAGACACAAGACGAACAAUAUGAGCCUGAAAGUAGUGCUUCGUCUUUUGAAUUCAGAAGGCUAAUGCCAAACAUAACUUUUCAAUUGGAGAAUACUUUAGCUC
Long non-coding RNA from Capsicum annuum, 1191 nucleotides. RefSeq lists it as uncharacterized. The transcript is spliced from 2 exons. The record is from RefSeq and is a predicted model, not a curated record. Lineage: Eukaryota; Viridiplantae; Streptophyta; Magnoliopsida; Solanales; Solanaceae.